This 484-nucleotide ribosomal RNA is filed under the name uncultured bacterium. Its description in RNAcentral is "partial 16S ribosomal RNA". It matches the Rfam family "Bacterial small subunit ribosomal RNA", at positions 28 to 507 of the family's 1533-position model. The record is from RNAcentral.
AUUGAACGCUGGCGGCAUGCUUUACACAUGCAAGUCGAACGGCAGCGCGUGCUUCGGCCUGGCGGCGAGUGGCGAACGGGUGAGUAAUGCAUCGGAACGUGCCCAGUAGUGGGGGAUAGCCCGGCGAAAGCCGGAUUAAUACCGCAUACGACCUGAGGGUGAAAGCGGGGGACCGAAAGGCCUCGCGCUAUUGGAGCGGCCGAUGUCGGAUUAGCUAGUUGGUGGGGUAAAGGCUUACCAAGGCGACGAUCCGUAGCUGGUCUGAGAGGACGACCAGCCACACUGGGACUGAGACACGGCCCAGACUCCUACGGGAGGCAGCAGUGGGGAAUUUUGGACAAUGGGGGCAACCCUGAUCCAGCCAUGCCGCGUGCGGGAAGAAGGCCUUCGGGUUGUAAACCGCUUUUGUUCGGGAAGAAAUCCUCUGGGCUAAUACCCCGGGGGGAUGACGGUACCGGAAGAAUAAGCACCGGCUAACUACGUG